CCUUGGAACAUCUGCUCUAAGCCAAGUCCUACAUUGCUCUAGAGGUGGAAGUCACUAAGCGCUGAGGCAUUGCCUCCAAUGGAGACAAGCCACAAACGGUCUUGCUUCCAGCUCUUUGGGAAGCUAAGAAACAACUCGCUAUCCACAGUGCUAUUACAGCCUACCAGGAACAUCUCUGACAAAGGCCUGUGAAACGCAGUUUCUUUCCAGCCCUGACCUCGCUGAAAUAGAACUUCUGCUCUGCUGUGUAAUACAUUGCCCUAGAGGUGGAAGUCACAAACCCCUGCCUGGCUUCCUUAAGAGGAGUCAGGGCACAGACCCUCUCGCUUCCAGCUCUUUUGCAAGGUGAGAAAGAACUCGCUUUCCCCUGGGCUCUUACAGCCUACUGGGAACCUCUGAUCGAAAGACCUGAAACGAAGUUUAUUUCCAGCCGAGAUCUCGCCACCUUAGGACUUCUGCUCUAAGCCAUGUCCUACAUAACUCUAGAGGUGGAAGUGACAAAGCGCUGAGUCAUUGCCAACAAAGGAGACAAGCCACAAACCGUGUUGCUUCCAGCUCUUUGGGAAGCUAAGAAACAACUCACUCUCCACAGAUCUCUUUCAACCUACCAGGAACCUCUCAUACAAAAGUCUGAAAUGCAGUUUGUUUCCAGCCACGAUCUCACCGCAUUGGAACAUCUGCUCUAAGCCAUGUCCUACAUGGCUCUAGAGCUGGAAGACACAAAGCGCUGAGUAAUUGCUGCUAAAAGAGUCAAGCCACAAACUGUCUUGCUUCCAGCUCUUUGGGAAGCUAAGAAACACCUCGCUCUCCUCAGUGCUCUUACAGCCUAGCAGGAACAUGUCUCACAAGGGCAUGUGAAAUGAAGUUUCUUCCCAGCCCUUAUCUCGCUGAAGUAGAACUUCUGCUCUGCCUUGUAAUACAUUGAGCUAGAGGAGGAUGUCACAAAGCCCUGCCUGCCUUUCUAUAGAGGAGACAGGCCACAGACCGUCUUGCUUCCAGCUCUUUGGCAAGGUGAGAAAGAACUCACUUUCCUCUGGGCUCUUACAGCUUACCGUGAAUCUCUCAUACAAUGACCUGAAACGCAGUUUGUUUCCAGCCCUUAUCUUGCCGCCUUGGAUCUUCAGCACUAAGCCAUGCCCCACAUUUCUCUAGAGGUGAAAGUCACUAACACUGACUCAUUGCCUCCAAAGGAGACAAGCCACACACGGCCUUCCUUCCAGCUCUUUGGGAAGCUAAGACACAACUGGCUCUCCACAGUGCUCUUACAGCCCACUGGGAACAUCUCUUACAAAGGCCUGCGAAACGCACUUUCUUCCCAGCCCUGAUCUCGCUGAAGUAGGACUUCUGCUCUGCAGUGUAAUUCAUUGUCCUAGAGGUGGAAGUCACAGCGCACAGCCUGGCAGCCUCAAGAGGAGACAGGCCACAGACCGUCUUUCUUCCAGCUAUUUGGCAAGAUGUCGCCAACUUGGUUCUUCUCAUCUAAGACAUGUCCCACAUUGCUCUAGAGGUGGAAGUGACAAAGAGGUGAUUCAUUUCCUCCAAAAGAGACAAGCCACAAACGGUCUUGCUUCCAGAUCUUUGGGAAGCUAAGAAACAACAGGCCCUCCACAGUGCACUUACAGCCUACCAGGAACAUCUCUCACAAUGGCCUGUGAGACUCAGUUUCAUCCCAGCCGUGAUCUCGCUGAAGUAGAACUUCUGUGAUGCCGUGUUCUAUGUUGCCCUAGAAGUGAAAGGUACAAAGUCCUGCCUUGUUUCCUCAAGGGGAGACAGGCCACAAGCGUCUUGCUUCCAGCUCUUUGGGAAGCUAAGAAACAACUCGCUCUCCACAGUGCUCUUACAGCCUACCGGGAACAUGUCUUACAAAGGCCUGUGAAACGCAGUUUGUUUGCAGGCCUGAUCUGGCUGAAGUAGAACUUCUGCUCUGGGUGUGCCACAUUGCCCUAUAGCUGAAAGCUGCAACGUGCAGCCUCCUUUCCAAAGGGCGAGUUGGGCCCCAGAGCAUCUUGCUUCCAGCUCUUUGGGAAGCUACGAAACAAGUCGCUCUGCACACUGCUCUUACAGCCUACCGGGAACAUCUCUUACAAAGGACUGUGAAACGCAGUUUCUUUGCAGGCCUGAUGUGGCUGAAGUAGCACUUUUGCUCUGGGUGUGCCACAUUGACCUAGAGCUGAAAGGCACAACGUGCAGGCUUCUUAACAAAGGGCGAGAUGGGCCCCAGAGCAUCUUGCUUCCAGCUCUUUGGGAAGAUAAGAAACAACUCGCUCUCGCAGUGCUCUUACAGCCUCCAGGGAACAUCUCUUACAAAGCCGUGUGAAACGCAGUUUCUUUGCAGGCCUGAUCUGGCUGAAGUUGAACUUCUGCCCUGGGUGUGCAAAUUUGCCCUAGAGCUGAAAGGCACAACGUGCAGGCUUCUUAACAAAGGGCGAGUUGGGCGCCAGAUCAUCUUGCUUCCAGCUCUUUGGGAAGCUAGGAAACACCUCGCCCUGCACAGUGCUCUUACAGCCUACUGGUAACAUCUCUUACAAUGGCCUGUUAAACGCAGUUUCUUUGCAGGGCUGAUCUGGCUGAAGUUGAACUUCUGCUCUGGGUGUGCCACAUUGCCCAGAACUGAAAGGCACAACGUGCAGGCUUCUUAACAAAGGGCCAAGUGGGACCCAGAGCAUCUUGCUUCCAGCUAUUUAGGAAGCUAGGAAACAUCUCGCUCUGCCCAGUGCUCUUACAGACUACCGGGAACAUCUUUUACAAAGGCCUGUGAAACCCAGUUUCUUGGCAGGACAGAUCUUGCUGAAGUAGAACUUCUGCCCUGGGUGUGCCACAUUGCCCUAGAGCUGAAAGGCACACGUGCAGGCUUCUUAACAAAGGGCGAGUUGGGCCCCAGAGCAUCUUGCUUCCAGCUCUUUGGGAAGCUAAGAAACAACUCGCUCUGCACAGUGCUCUUACAUCCUACCUUGAACUUCUCUUACAAAGGCCUGUGAAACGCAGUUUGUUUGCAGGCCUGAUCUGGCUGAAGUAGAACUUCUGCCCUGGGUGUGCCACAUUGCCCUAGAGCUGAAAGGCACAACGUGCAGGCUUCUUAACAAAGGGCGAGUUGGGCCCCAGUGCAUCUUGCUUCCAGCUCUUUGGGAAGCUAAGAAACAACUCGCUCUGCACAGUGCUCUUACAGCCAACCGGCAACAUCUCUUACAGUGGCCUGUGAAACGCAGUUUCUUUGCAGGCCUGAUCUGGGUGAAGUAG
Molecule: long non-coding RNA, 3237 nt
Filed under: Equus caballus (horse)
Lineage: Eukaryota; Metazoa; Chordata; Mammalia; Perissodactyla; Equidae
Description: lncRNA (ENSECAG00000046271.1)
Source: RNAcentral